UCCCCACGUGCAUCCUGCUCACUUCCAUUGCUGGGGCCCCGGGACCUGUACUGUGCACAUCUGCUCUGCUCUGCUCACAGCGCACCCCAUGGGCCAUAAGAUUUCACUCUUAAAAGGAAACAGAUGUCUAACAAAAGUGAGUUAAAGCUGAGCUACAGUGCAAAAAAUAGCACUUAGCACAGCAAAGGGAACAUUGGAAACAGAAGGAAGAGGAGAGGAAAAAGGAUGAUGAGGAGUGGAAAAUGAAGGAAAAGGAGUUGAGAAAGAAGGAAGAGGAGUUGAAAAAGA
This 288-nucleotide long non-coding RNA is filed under the name Bos indicus x Bos taurus (hybrid cattle). RNAcentral's name for it is "lncRNA (ENSBIXG00005013333.1)". Lineage: Eukaryota; Metazoa; Chordata; Mammalia; Artiodactyla; Bovidae. The record is from RNAcentral.